UAAAUCGUCUCGCUGAGUCUCCGUAUGGAGAACGGGGGAACCAAUAUCGCUUUGCCGUAUGCCGAUAGCCUUACAUAACUGUACAUCAGGUUGGCGUUGCAAGCUGUAUUUGAUUUCUUCACGUGGUCUUUGGGGUGAAUUUGAAGGCAAUCGCCAUGAGCGGUUGACCCGAGAUAGGGCGUCUCUCUUUCGUCCGAACCCGACAGCUAACCCCGUAAGCGCAAGUAAGAGAGGAA
Molecule: small RNA, 236 nt
Filed under: Paenibacillus sabinae
Lineage: Bacteria; Bacillati; Bacillota; Bacilli; Caryophanales; Paenibacillaceae
Description: c-di-AMP sequence
Rfam family: c-di-AMP riboswitch aptamer (ydaO/yuaA leader)
About the family: This family represents a conserved RNA structure found upstream of the ydaO and yuaA genes in Bacillus subtilis and related genes in other bacteria.
Source: RNAcentral